Molecule: ribosomal RNA, 492 nt
Filed under: uncultured bacterium
Lineage: Bacteria
Description: partial 16S ribosomal RNA
Rfam family: Bacterial small subunit ribosomal RNA
Source: RNAcentral
AGUGAACGCUGGCGGUAGGCCUAACACAUGCAAGUCGAACGGCAGCACAGUAAGAGCUUGCUCUUACGGGUGGCGAGUGGCGGACGGGUGAGGAAUACAUCGGAAUCUACUUUUUCGUGGGGGAUAACGUAGGGAAACUUACGCUAAUACCGCAUACGACCUACGGGUGAAAGCAGGGGAUCUUCGGACCUUGCGCGAUUCAAUGAGCCGAUGUCGGAUUAGCUAGUUGGCUGGGUAAAGGCCCACCAAGCCGACGAUCCGUAGCUGGUCUGAGAGGAUGAUCAGCCACACUGGAACUGAGACACGGUCCAGACUCCUACGGGAGGCAGCAGUGGGGAAUAUUGGACAAUGGGCGCAAGCCUGAUCCAGCCAUACCGCGUGGGUGAAGAAGGCCUUCGGGUUGUAAAGCCCUUUUGUUGGGAAAGAAAAGCAGCAGGUUAAUACCCCGCUGUUCUGACGGUACCCAAAGAAUAAGCACCGGCUAACUUCGUG